This 326-nucleotide ribosomal RNA is filed under the name Pseudomonas sp. Spd. RNAcentral describes it as "bacterial SSU rRNA". It matches the Rfam family "Bacterial small subunit ribosomal RNA", at positions 1083 to 1409 of the family's 1533-position model. The record is from RNAcentral. Lineage: Bacteria; Pseudomonadati; Pseudomonadota; Gammaproteobacteria; Pseudomonadales; Pseudomonadaceae.
AGUCCCGUAACGAGCGCAACCCUUGUCCUUAGUUACCAGCACCUCGGGUGGGCACUCUAAGGAGACUGCCGGUGACAAACCGGAGGAAGGUGGGGAUGACGUCAAGUCAUCAUGGCCCUUACGGCCAGGGCUACACACGUGCUACAAUGGUCGGUACAAAGGGUUGCCAAGCCGCGAGGUGGAGCUAAUCCCAUAAAACCGAUCGUAGUCCGGAUCGCAGUCUGCAACUCGACUGCGUGAAGUCGGAAUCGCUAGUAAUCGUGAAUCAGAAUGUCACGGUGAAUACGUUCCCGGGCCUUGUACACACCGCCCGUCACACCAUGGGA